RNAcentral lists this non-coding RNA (127 nucleotides) under Lederbergia galactosidilytica. RNAcentral describes it as "Bacillus galactosidilyticus GlcN6P sequence". It matches the Rfam family "glmS glucosamine-6-phosphate activated ribozyme aptamer". From Rfam's summary of the family: This entry contains a glucosamine-6-phosphate activated ribozyme that is found in the mRNA for GlmS. GlmS is an enzyme that uses fructose-6-phosphate and glutamine to generate glucosamine-6-phosphate. The record is from RNAcentral. Lineage: Bacteria; Bacillati; Bacillota; Bacilli; Caryophanales; Bacillaceae.
UUUUUAAAUAAAGCGCCAGAACUAAUCUGAUCGGAAUCUAAGAUUAGUUGACGAGGUGGAGGUUAUCGAAUCUUCGGCGGAUGCCUCCCGGCUGGGACACACAGUCGAAUGGAGGUUAUCGAAUCUU